UACGUAUGGGGCAAGCGUUAUCCGGAUUUACUGGGUGUAAAGGGAGUGUAGGCGGCGGGGCAAGCCUGAUGUGAAAGCCCGGGGCUCAACCCCGGGACUGCAUUGGGAACUGCCCUGCUGGAGUGCCGGAGGGGCAGGCGGAAUUCCUAGUGUAGCGGUGAAAUGCGUAGAUAUUAGGAGGAACACCAGUGGCGAAGGCGGCCUGCUGGACGGUGACUGACGCUGAGGCUCGAAAGCGUGGGGAGCAAACAGG
Molecule: ribosomal RNA, 253 nt
Filed under: uncultured bacterium
Lineage: Bacteria
Description: partial 16S ribosomal RNA
Rfam family: Bacterial small subunit ribosomal RNA
Source: RNAcentral